RNAcentral lists this ribosomal RNA (67 nucleotides) under uncultured bacterium. RNAcentral's name for it is "partial 16S ribosomal RNA". The record is from RNAcentral.
CCGGUACGGGCUAAACCCGGCCAAAGGGAGGCCAAGGCCGUACGAAGGUGGGUCAGCGAUUGGGGUG